RNAcentral lists this ribosomal RNA (534 nucleotides) under fungal sp. Its description in RNAcentral is "eukaryotic LSU rRNA". The stretch from base 153 to 306 matches the Rfam family "5.8S ribosomal RNA". Lineage: Eukaryota; Fungi. The record is from RNAcentral.
GUUGGGGCUCGGGCUUUCACUCCAACCCCUGUGACAUACCAAUUGUUGCCUCGGCGGAUCAGCCCGCUCCCGGUAAAACGGGACGGCCCGCCAGAGGACCCCUAAACUCUGUUUCUAUAUGUAACUUCUGAGUAAAACCAUAAAUAAAUCAAAACUUUCAACAACGGAUCUCUUGGUUCUGGCAUCGAUGAAGAACGCAGCAAAAUGCGAUAAGUAAUGUGAAUUGCAGAAUUCAGUGAAUCAUCGAAUCUUUGAACGCACAUUGCGCCCGCCAGUAUUCUGGCGGGCAUGCCUGUUCGAGCGUCAUUUCAACCCUCAAGCCCCCGGGUUUGGUGUUGGGGAUCGGCGAGCCCUUGCGGCAAGCCGGCCCCGAAAUCUAGUGGCGGUCUCGCUGCAGCUUCCAUUGCGUAGUAGUAAAACCCUCGCAACUGGUACGCGGCGCGGCCAAGCCGUUAAACCCCCAACUUCUGAAUGUUGACCUCGGAUCAGGUAGGAAUACCCGCUGAACUUAAGCAUAUCAAUACCCCGGGAGGA